AGUGAACGCUGGCGGUAGGCCUAACACAUGCAAGUCGAACGGCAGCACAGUAAGAGCUUGCUCUUACGGGUGGCGAGUGGCGGACGGGUGAGGAAUACAUCGGAAUCUACUUUUUCGUGGGGGAUAACGUAGGGAAACUUACGCUAAUACCGCAUACGACCUACGGGUGAAAGCAGGGGAUCUUCGGACCUUGCGCGAUUGAAUGAGCCGAUGUCGGAUUAGCUAGUUGGCUGGGUAAAGGCCCACCAAGGCGACGAUCCGUAGCUGGUCUGAGAGGAUGAUCAGCCACACUGGAACUGAGACACGGUCCAGACUCCUACGGGAGGCAGCAGUGGGGAAUAUUGGACAAUGGGCGAAAGCCUGAUCCAGCAAUACCGCGUGGGUGAAGAAGGCCUUCGGGUUGUAAAGCCCUUUUGUUGGGAAAGAAAAGCAGCAGGUUAAUACCCCGCUGUUCUGACGGUACCCAAAGAAUAAGCACCGGCUAACUUCGUG
RNAcentral lists this ribosomal RNA (492 nucleotides) under uncultured bacterium. Its description in RNAcentral is "partial 16S ribosomal RNA". It matches the Rfam family "Bacterial small subunit ribosomal RNA", at positions 29 to 507 of the family's 1533-position model. The record is from RNAcentral.